CAGUCGCCACGGUAAUACGUAGGUGGCAAGCGUUGUCCGGAAUUAUUGGGCGUAAAGGGCUCGCAGGCGGUUUCUUAAGUCUGAUGUGAAAGCCCCCGGCUCAACCGGGGAGGGUCAUUGGAAACUAGGAAACUUGAGUGCAGAAGAGGAGAGUGGAAUUCCACGUGUAGCGGUGAAAUGCGUAGAGAUGUGGAGGAACACCAGUGGCGAAGGCGACUCUCUGGUCUGUAACUGACGCUGAGGAGCGAAAGCGUGGGGAGCGAACAGGAUUAGAUACCCGUGUAGUCCCUGUCUCUUAUAA
This 301-nucleotide ribosomal RNA is filed under the name uncultured bacterium. Its description in RNAcentral is "partial 16S ribosomal RNA". It matches the Rfam family "Bacterial small subunit ribosomal RNA", at positions 509 to 809 of the family's 1533-position model. The record is from RNAcentral.